This is a long non-coding RNA of Megalobrama amblycephala (Wuchang bream), 1100 nucleotides long. RefSeq lists it as uncharacterized. The transcript has 2 exons. Lineage: Eukaryota; Metazoa; Chordata; Actinopteri; Cypriniformes; Xenocyprididae. The record is from RefSeq and is a predicted model, not a curated record.
UAGGGGCUCCGUAGGAACGACAUGAGUAGCCUAACUGAUGAAAAAAACAAAACAAAAAAACAUUUUGGGGUGAGAUAUCCCUUUAAGACUCGCGAAUCUCCGAGUCUCAAGCUUCGAAUUUCAGGACUCGAGUUUUUCUCUCUGCCAAAAGCAAAACUAUAACCAACAUGAUGGAUUUAUUUUCAUGUAGCCUGGUCGUUUUUUUUUAAUUGAGCAGAAUAAGUUUUUACACGCAUAUCCAACCUGUUUGAGUUUAAUUAUCACUGACUCGACACACCCUCAUGUGACCACCUGUACCGGUUUUUCCUGAAGAUGUGCCGCAGGCUCAUCGGUCCGAGAAGGGUAAAUGCCGAGAAUUAAAGGAAAGCCAAUAGACAUUCACACCUGCGCGCCGACACACCUAAAAGCUUCCACUUUUCACUCACGGAGGAGAAAGUGUUGAAGUGUAGAGUUUAAAACUGUUUGGAGGUUGUCAUUGCUGAGUGUUGGGUGUGUAGAUAUCCAUGUUUCGACACGGGACUCGCGUUUGGACCGCUGUUGCUGCGUUUCUCUUAGAUGUUGCAUAACACCUGUUUGCCUGGAGUUUUUGACCUGCACUGCACAUUGCUAGGAAUCGUGGCUGAGAUGAACAGCAGGAUUUCAGUCAUUGUUUCUAGUAGUGUGCGCUGCAGAUAUUCAGCUUCUUGCCAUGAAUAUCUGGGAGUAUCUGGAGUCACAUCUACAAUCAUAAUGAGAAAAAGGUCUAAUACAAUGCAUGUAUGGCACAUAUGUGUAUAUAUAUUGGUUGCCGCUGGAUGGCAGUGGAAUGCAAGGAAAGUGACAACGGCAACUGAUCUGCAUGCAACAUGCAAGUAACUGAAAAUCUUUGGCAUGUUGGCGAACCUGCCCAGGAGAGGCAGUUCAGUUGUUAGGAAUUUAGACUUCCUCAUUCAAUUGUAAUUGAGGCCUUUAUGCAGAAAAUAACCACACCAGAUUUGGAUCAUGCAUUUGAUCAUUUAUAGCAAUUUGCUUUAAGGCUUCUCUUUUUGUUGUUGUUGUUGUUGUUGUCUUACAUUGGGUUGUUUUUCAAGUGUCAGUGACAAAUAAAGAUGAUGAAUGUU